UACAGAGGGGGCAAGCGUUGUUCGGAAUUACUGGGCGUAAAGGGCGCGUAGGCGGCCUGCUAAGUCGAACGUGAAAUCCCCGGGCUCAACCCGGGAACUGCGUCCGAUACUGACAGGCUUGAAUCCGGGAGAGGGAUGUGGAAUUCCAGGUGUAGCGGUGAAAUGCGUAGAUAUCUGGAGGAGCACCGGUGGCGAAGGCGGCAUCCUGGACCGGUAUUGACGCUGAUGCGCGAAAGCCAGGGGAGCAAACGGG
This 253-nucleotide ribosomal RNA is filed under the name uncultured bacterium. Its description in RNAcentral is "partial 16S ribosomal RNA". It matches the Rfam family "Bacterial small subunit ribosomal RNA", at positions 524 to 776 of the family's 1533-position model. The record is from RNAcentral.